Non-coding RNA from Peromyscus maniculatus bairdii (prairie deer mouse), 8192 nucleotides. NCBI's taxonomy places the organism in Eukaryota, Metazoa, Chordata, Mammalia, Rodentia, Cricetidae. The record is from RefSeq and is a predicted model, not a curated record.
AUCACAUCCAGCCCUUUUUAAAGGAAGGUUUUUAUUUCUCUUCUAAUUACAUUUAAUUGUGUGUGUCGGGGGUUGCUGGUUGAUUCACCAUGUAGGUCCGAGGGACUGAAUUCUUCCCUGGACUUGAUGGCCGCAGCCUUCACCCGCUGAGCCCUCCCACCAGCCCCAGUUAGCGGGUCUGGAAUAGGGAAGUGUGGAUGUCUUAGAUCUUUUCAGGUAUUGUUGAAAAGGGAGGGAGAGAGAAAGAGGCAGCAAAAGUGGCUUCUGGUCAUGUGAGGAGUCAUCAGGGCGUAUUCAUGUUCUCCAAGCGUCUGGAACAUGCCUGGAGCAUGACCAGCCUGUGUGCUACCCAGGCUCUGACUACUGAGCUAAAUGUCUAGCCCCAAUACUUGUCAUGUGAACAGAUUACACAGCUCUAGUAAAAAGGGAGAGAACUCAGUCAUACUGGAAAACAGCACGUCUACACAGGCGACUGUGGCGGGUUGAGGGAAGAAGCCUUCCCUUCACACAUGUAGCUCAUCACACUCAGGCUUUCUCGCUGCAGAGCUGAGGGGGGGUUCUUUUAACUGUGCUUAGUCAGUCAUGUUGCCCAGAAGUGGAAAUAACAGAAUUUUCAAGAGAAACUGAGGUUGAGUAAAAUCUCAAAAACCAGUUCUCUUCACAGAUUUUUCAAACCUAUAUGACUUAUAAACUAUGAUGUCAAAUGUCUGAACUUCCGGCAGAGUCCUCCACCCACAAAUAAGAGUCCUAAGCUCCUUGGGGCUCUGUCUGGAACCUGAGAAGGAAAUCAUCUUUGCUCCACAGAACCUUCUGCCUGACUCCACACUAAUGAAGAAAGGACUGUGGCAGUCCAGAUCCUUCCCUGACACUGGGCUUGUCGCUGUGUACCCAACACCUGCAGCUGGCCUCCACGGCCCUGCUGGUGUCCUUUGCAAAGGACAGUUACUUGUCACCGUGGUAGGACUCGAGGCCAUUGCCUUUGGCUGAGCUGAGCUGAGAUGGGACAGAGAACUGAAGAAGCCAGGUCUCAGGAAUAGAAAGAUAGGGCUCUCUGGGAGUCUGAAGUGGGUUGUGGGGGGUGUGCCCCCAAACUAAUGAUGGGUUUUGAAGGGCUGCUUUCAGGCUGACUGAGACGCCAGCAGCAGCAGAUGUUACCGGGUUUCAGGCAGUGUUUUCAUUAGAUGUCAGUUUUUGUGUGACAGAAACUCAAACUGCCUAAGCAAACUUUUAUUUGUCCUCUGAAAACUUGACAUCCGUCUAGUGCGUGGGCCCCUAGACCCACCUGUUUCGUUCAUGAGCACUGCCUCUUCUGUGUACCAGCUUUUCUCACAGGCUGGCAUUUGGGGGCACAAAUAGUUUAGGGAAUGUGGACUUGGAGGUCUCUGCUAGGCCAUCAGGAAAAGAGAGAUUGCCUCCUCUAGUAAUACAGCUGAGAACCUGAGGAUGCUUUUUCUCAGCAGGACUAGCAAAUGUUUUCUCAAUCCUCAUUGGCCAGGACUGAACCAAUCACCUGUCCUGAUGCAUACAUACUUUGAGGGGCAUCACCAGCGAAGGUCUCCAAGAAAGAAAGUAAAGAGGAGCUUCCUUGGCAACUGAGGGAGAAGUAGGUGUUGAGGAGGUGACCUGUGAAUGCUUACUGUACCUUCAUUAUCGUGGUACAGGCCAGGUUAGAUCGGGGCAAUAUGGACAUCGAUGAGAAGUCUUUCCUUCUUUGGGGGAAGAGGGCAGGCAAGGUCUCCCUGUGCAGACCACACUGGCCUGGUCUUAUGGUCUUCUUCUCUCUCCCACAUGCUACUGCCUUCCACUCCUGGUUAUAGAUAAAAUCUGUUCAGAACCCCAGCUCUGCCUGCUUCUAACUAAGUUAUCUCUUCAAUCUCCAAUUUCUUCAUCUGAAAAAAUGCAGCUCAUGCCUAUAACGCCUUGGGAGGGUGAGGCAAGAGGAUUGCCAUGAGUUCCAGGCCAUCCUGGGCUACAGAGUUUGAAUACUUAUCCGAAAAACCAAACAAAAACAAAAUGUUAAUGGCAACCCCUCAGUGAAGAUCAAUUCAUGUAUCAAAAUAUAUGUUUGUCCCAGCACUUGUGUGGCAGAAGCAGGCAGAUCUCUUCAGUUUCCAGGCCCCCCUGGUGUAUAUAGGGAGUUCCAGGUCAGCCAGAGCUAUAAUGUGAAAUCCUGUCUAGAAACAAAUGAACAAAACUACCUAUGGAGGGUGAAGGUACGUAAGUUUAUAUGUUUGAAAAUAUAAAUCCAAUAGGAAGUACUUUUGUUUCUUUAUAGAGUGUCCCUGCAGUUGUUGAAGCCAGCAGGGAGGCCCAUUUCCACCCAACAGGACAGCGAGCAUAAGGAAGCUAGCCCUGGCAGUGUCAGGCAAGUCAGGGCCCACCUGGUGUCUUCACUGCAAGAAAGAGGGCUCACUGGUUCAGAACUAACCUUAGGCAGCAGGUGUUCAGGGCCGGGGUGGUAGAGUUUCAGCUUUGAUUUGUCUAUGAAGCCGCCCGGGUUAUUAAGAUGGUGACCCUGUUCUCUUGUUCAAGAACCAGUUUCAUUUCUAAUGACACAGCACCAUCAUGCCAUUCCUUGAUUUAGUCACUAGAACCAAAACUGAAGUGUGGCUGGUUUCAUGUUGUUUUUAUAGCAGUUAGUACAGAGAACAACAGGCUUGUGUGAAAACAGAUGUGUUUGCUAUCUGUUUCUCCAUCUGCUGCCUCCCAGACUCAGCCAUCUCUGCCAUGGCUUGCUCCUCAGCCUCAGUUCUUGUCGGAGAGGCUCCCUUGAGAACAAGAACCUGGCUGCUCUUUCCAGGACUGCGGGCACAUUUUUUUUUUUUUUUUUUUUUAAGAGGAAAAGAGUCUUGCCAUCCCCCAAGCCAUUCACCAUUUGGGAGAAUCCCUUUCGGAGCACCCAGGAGGACUCUUGGUUUGAUGGGCCUCAGAGUGCUGAACUACAACAAGAGAAGGUGUUUAAUUCUCUAGGGAAAGCCUCAUCUUAAUAACAAUGCCAAAGUUCUCACAAUAAAUCAUAGUCUCCUCCCGCUGGCCGUGUUUCUAUAAUCAGGUUUAAAAGUGAAUGUUUACAAAGAAAGAAAUAGAAAUGGGCUAAGACUGUAGCUAAAUUAGCAAAGUGCUCACCCUGUACAUACUAGGCCCAAAGUUAGUCCCAGCACUGCAUAAGCCAGGCAUGCUGACACAAGCCUGUGAUCUUAGCACUCGGGAGGAUCAGAAGUUCAAGGUCAUCCUGAGUUUGAGGCCAGCCUUCGCUACAGAAGAUCCUCUUUAAACACACCCAGACACCUCUUUAAACACACACACACACACACACACACACACACACACACACACACACACCUCCAUAAACAUCGAUUCUUCCAUGUCUUCAGAUUUAAGAAUUACAGAACGUAGAACCCUAAGCUAUCUCCCAUAUAAUCUAAUCGCUCUAUCUGUGCUCAGGUUCCCUUGUGUAUAAAAUGAACCUAAUAGGAAAUCCUAAUAGGGCAAAGAACAGCUUAUAUGAAUAAAUGUGCACAGCAUGCUUGAAAAAGCACCUGGCACAGAGUGUGCCCUCCCAAAAUGUCAGUUGUCCUGGGCUAGGGAUGUAACUCAGUUGGUUGUGCUUGCCUAGCAUUCAUAAAGCCCUAGGUUCCCUACCCAGCACCACAUAAUACAAGGUGCUGUGACCCAUACCUAAUCCCAUUUUGGGAAAUGGAAGGAUCAGAAGUUCAGGGUCAUCCUUGGCUACAUAGGAUGAGGCCAGCCUGGGAUGAGCGAGACCCUGUCUUGAAAAACAAAACAAGCCAAUAAAUAUUAGUUGUAAUCGUCCUCACUUCAUGUUUUUGUCCACUGAAAGUUGAAUAUCUUCAUCUCACCCCGCACACACACAGCCAGCCUCUCUCAAUAUCUGCCUACCCUCCAUCAAAAUCACGCUCCUGUAACCUUGACUUUUGAUCUCAAAUGACAGAGGAGGGUAAGCCUUGCUUCCAUGGUAACAGCUGGUCUCUUCCAGAACUGUCUAUUAACCAGUGUUCGUUGUGUUUUAAUGAUAAGCAUAACUCAGAUAUCCUAUCAUAUUUACACGUUGAGCCCGCUCACCAGGACACUGGGUUGGUGGCUGUGCUUCUCCGUUUUGACUUUGCUAUGCUGUUGCCAGGCCUUCGUCCUGGACCUUCUCAUCCAGUUGUCAAUGUUUCCAUUAGACUAAAUUUUUUACCUCAAUCCCCUCAUUUAAGGAAAUUCCUUAAUAUUGUCAAGAAAGCCAUUUUCCAUUUAAUUUUUUCCUCUUAUUUCAUCUUCCGUCAAUAUUUUCUUAUUGUGUUCACCGUCUGGGGAGUCCAAAUAACAGCAUGGCUGUUCAGUGCUCUCUCUGUGUGGACCUUUAUCCCCUCCACGAUUGCAAAUUCUUGAGACCAAAAGCCAGAGCUUGGCGGCACUCCUGAGCUUCUGGGUAGAAGACAGUCUGUUGCUAGGGGACUCCUGAGAGAGCUCUUCCAAGCAUGUGGCUCUCUACUCUUUCCCUCUGUUGCCUCUCUGAAUUCACUUAGGCCUUCAGUAAGCAGGGACAGACUUGAAGGUGAGGGACUUAGGACCCUGGAGCCAGAGUCUGAAGGUGAUGUGUUGAGGAAUGAACCUGGCCUCCACCCUCUGCUGGAGUAGGGCAUUUUCUCCAGCAGAAGAUGCCUCUAUGUCUACCUCAUCGUGUUCCUUUUGGUCUGCUUUCUUCCUCCUACCUAGUCUCUCUCGCCCGCUCUCCCCUUUCCCUGAUUCACUUCCAGGCCGCCCUCCCCCGCCCGGCUUCAUGCCUUCCCUCUUACUCUUGCUUGGUCCUCUGUGUGCAUCACGGCGGUUUCUGUUCCCUCUCGCUCUUUUUCUUUCACUUUCCCCCGCCCACCAGUCCUUUUUAACUGUGUCAUCAUGGCUUACAGUGUGGGAACAUGGAACUCGUCGUCUCCCACAUUACACAGCCAUCUCUGGAUUCCAUGUGACCAGCAUUCCUUCCCUGAGCUACUGGGGCAGAACUGAUCCCCCACCACUACCAGCUGCUGAGGCCCAGCUUCUCUCUGAGUCCUGCUUCCUGCCCACGGCAGGGAGGGGGCGAGGCUCGAGCAGAAGAUGGAGGCCACAGAAGUCACCCCCAGUGCCUGGUAGGACUGUUGGGCAGUGUGAAGUGGGCAUGACCCCAGACAUCCCGCAGGUCAGCCUCCUCUGAAAGCACAGGGGUUGGGGCGGAGGAUCUGAAUGACACGGGCUGCGGGGAGAUAUAGGGCUGCUUGGACAACUGAGAGCAACCCCUGCCUGUGCUGACAUACGGGCCUGUCUUUAUAAUCUACAAAACCCAGCUGAAAUCCAAGUCAAAUGAAUAACAGGGUCCUGGUCACACGCAAGGAAUACUCUUCCCGUUUCCUCCUCCUCAACCCCACGCAUGCGCAAGGACCACUCUUCCCAUUUCCUCUUCAACCCCACGCAUGCAGGCUUGUGCAAUCUGUUCUUAUAUAAAGGUUUGCUAAACAGUCCAAGCUGAAGUUAGGUCUGGGAUCUGUGCGACGCAUGCUACCUCCCUUUCAAAGGUCAGCUCUCACCCACAGCAGCUACAGCAACCUGGAUAUUAGAGUGGGGGAGGGGAGGCGUGCCGAGGCUGCUGAGAACCGGACCUUCUUAGACUCGGUUUCACAAUGUAAGGAAUGUUUUGUGUAUCUUACAUGCAAACCAGAUUUGGUGACUCGAGUGGCAGUGUCCCUUUGCGACUGUGGCCAAGGAUGGAAAUAAAGCCUCUCCCUCUCUUAGAGGAUGGGUUUCUGCCAGGCACUUCCUUUCCUGCUGGUUUGCUCCCUUGACCCUUGGCAGCAGCCUGGCGCGCCUGCUAGCCGGCACCCAACCAGCACAGUGAAAGUGAUUAUUGCCCUGGCUGCCUACAGGCCUCUGCAGGCAUCUUCUGUCCUGGCCUGCUUGCAGGAGCCAUCAGAGCCAGGAUCAAGAGGUUGGCUGAGGGGGAAAAAAAAAGUGAGCCGGGUCUCCUGGCAUCUUUCCAAGUCCCAGAAAGGAACUGCUCCUAAUCCAGCAUCCUCUUCCUUUUUGUUCAGGUCAAGUAAUUAAAGCCCACCUGCCAUGGUUCCAUCGUGUUGGGAAGCUUCAUUCUCUAUGGACCAGUGCUGGGGUGGAGCCUGAUUACAGGAUGCUGGACACAAAGGCCUCAGCAGCUGCUACCCACUGUCUGGAACUUGCCAGGCCUGAGACUCAUGAGCUGAGACAUAGCAUUCGUUAUCAAGUACCCAGUCUGGUAUUCUGUGACAGCAGCCUAAGGAAACAAAGACACCUGACGCGAGUGUCCCCUCCCAUGACACUGGAAAGAGCAGCCACAAACCAGGAGGCUGCAGGCCUGCCGAUCUCUUGCAGUUGUCCUGGUCCUGGUGCUGAGAAAGACAGCUGACCAGCCCUAACUAUAAGAAAGAGUUCUGAUGGGACUGACCUGACCUACUGGGGACCUCCAACCUGGGAAGGCGGGGACCUGGAUCCUACCAACAAGAACUAAAACAGGGUUUCCUCCCCAAUGCCUCCGGACAAAUACUCUGGCCUGUUUUAUGGAAGAGAGGAGAGGGCCAAGCCAGUCUGUUUCAGAUUUUGGGCUUCAUAGGACGGAGAACUAACAAAAAGGGUUGUUUUAAGCCACCGGAUUAUUGGUAAUGCCGGUACGUAUUUAAUCAUGCGGAGUUAUCAAUUGUUUUCUUUUGGACAGUCUCACUGUAUGGCCCAGGCUAACUUCCACCUUGGAAUUCUCUAACCUCAGCCUUCUGAGGGCUGAGCCUGCAGGCGUGUGUCACUACAUCCACCUGACUUUUAAAUGGUUUUCGUGGUCCCCGAGUCUUAGUUUAUAGGCCACGGUCUUGGUAGGCUGCAGAUUUCUAGCAAGUGGGAGGAAAGCUGGCCACCUGGUUCACUGUGGGUGUCACUCAGAAGUCCAUGGUGAUGUCACUCAGAAGCCGAGGCCUCACAGAGAGGCACAAAGGAGGAGGAGGAGGGAGAAGAGGAGAAGGCAGCAACAUUGAACACAAUGUUGGUAAAGAUCAAGAGAAAGGAGAUACCUACCAGUGAUGGAACCAGAUCCUUCAGGGGUGGCCCCCGGGCUCCUGGAAGGCUGGCUUCAGGGAAGUAGAAAAUGAGAGGUGGCCAGAGGGGCUGUGCUUCAGAGUUACACAGGGUGUCGGCCAUUUGACAGCAUCAGGGUAGCAUGGGUUAGCAUAGAAAUGUAUUCUGGGUCCAUGGCGUGAAGGCUCUGGAAUGAGAAGCAGCAUGAUUUGGUAGGAAUGAGGGGCCAUGCCAAGCCCGGGAGGAUAGACUCGAAGUGGACUGAGUAUACACGGUGAAUUGAGUGUGGCAGCAAGACAGAAGCCUGCUGUGGGAUGUGUUGAUCACAUUCUGACAGUAAAGCUUGCUUGGAGUCAGAGGGCAGAGCUAGCCACUCGCUGACCAAAAUUAACCAUAGAGGUUUUGGAGGACAGGACAGAUAGGAGACAGGAAGUAGUAAGGUGGGGCAGAGAGAGGAUCUCUGCCUUUUUUGGGGAUCACUGGUGGCUCCUCCACUUCUCUGAUCAUUCAGGUUCUCACCCCAAUAACUGACUCCCGAUUUUUUUAAUUGAAAAGUAAUUAGAUAAACGCUUCAGGGGGCUUCCGUGCAGACAGAGGAUAGAAUGGGAACCAUCACAGUAACUUUGCCAUGGGGACAACAGAUAAAAAAAUAAAAACCACAGCUUCCGGCUUGAUUCCAUCCCUCAGUCCAGCCUUCCUCCGCUUCUCCCUGUACCGCCAUCACCACCACGUGCCCAAAAGACAAGAGCCACUGCGUUUAAGGAGCUGAGAAUGACUAAUGUCAGGUAAUAAGCGUUAAGUCUCAUGAGGGCGACCUCAGCAGGGCCAUGGUGGCACACACCUUUAAUCCCAGCACUCAGGAGCCAGAGGCAGGCGGAUCUCUGUGAGUUCAAGGCCAGCCUGGUCUACAGAGUUAGUUUCAAGCCAGCCAGGGCAACACAGAGAAACCCUGUCUCAAAAAACAAACCGAAAAAACCCCACAGCCUCUGGUGAAGAUAAAUGUCAACCAGGUGAAGCCACGGCGCACCUUCAGGAAAGAAUGGUAUGGGGUCACUGUCUUAUCUCCUUGAUUUUUUUGUUUUAAUUUGAAGUGCUUGGGACUGAACUCUGGGUUUGAUCUA